GCAUGCCUAUACAUGCAGUCGAACGAACUUCCGUUAAUUGAUUAUGACGUACUUGUACUGAUUGAGAUUUUAACACGAAGUGAGUGGCGAACGGGUGAGUAACACGUGGGUAACCUGCCCAGAAGUAGGGGAUAACACCUGGAAACAGAUGCUAAUACCGUAUAACAGAGAAAACCGCAUGGUUUUCUUUUGAAAGAUGGCUCUGCUAUCACUUCUGGAUGGACCCGCGGCGUAUUAGCUAGUUGGUGAGGUAAAGGCUCACCAAGGCAGUGAUACGUAGCCGACCUGAGAGGGUAAUCGGCCACAUUGGGACUGAGACACGGCCCAGACUCCUACGGGAGGCAGCAGUAGGGAAUCUUCCACAAUGGACGCAAGUCUGAUGGAGCAACGCCGCGUGAGUGAAGAAGGGUUUCGGCUCGUAAAGCUCUGUUGUUAAAGAAGAACGUGGGUAAGAGUAACUGUUUACCCAGUGACGGUAUUUAACCAGAAAGCCACGGCUAACUACGUGCCAGCAGCCGCGGUAAUACGUAGGUGGCAAGCGUUAUCCGGAUUUAUUGGGCGUAAAGCGAGCGCAGGCGGUCUUUUAAGUCUAAUGUGAAAGCCUUCGGCUCAACCGAAGAAGUGCAUUGGAAACUGGGAGACUUGAGUGCAGAAGAGGACAGUGGAACUCCAUGUGUAGCGGUGAAAUGCGUAGAUAUAUGGAAGAACACCAGUGGCGAAGGCGGCUGUCUGGUCUGCAACUGACGCUGAGGCUCGAAAGCAUGGGUAGCGAACAGGAUUAGAUACCCUGGUAGUCCAUGCCGUAAACGAUGAUUACUAAGUGUUGGAAGGGUUUCCGCCCUUCAGUGCUGCAGCUAACGCAUUAAGUAAUCCGCCUGGGGGAGUACGACCGCAAGGUUGAAACUCAAAAGAAUUGACGGGGGCCCGCACAAGCGGUGGAGCCAGGUGGUUUAAUUCGAAGCUACGCGAAGAACCUUACCAGGUCUUGACAUCUUCUGACAGUCUAAGAAGAUUAGAGGUUCCCUUCGGGGACAGAAUGACAGGUGGGUGCAAGGGUUGUCGUCAGCUCCUGUCCUGAGAAAUUUUGGGGUUAAGUCCCCGCACCGAGCGCAACCCUUAUUACUAGUUGCCAGCAUUAAGUUGGGGACUCUAUUGGAGACUGCCGGUGACAAACCCGGAGGAAAGGGGGGGGAGGAAAAUCAAAUAAUCAAUGGCCCUUUAUAACCUGGGGCUACACC
Molecule: ribosomal RNA, 1238 nt
Filed under: Pediococcus pentosaceus
Lineage: Bacteria; Bacillati; Bacillota; Bacilli; Lactobacillales; Lactobacillaceae
Description: bacterial SSU rRNA
Rfam family: Bacterial small subunit ribosomal RNA
Source: RNAcentral